This 253-nucleotide ribosomal RNA is filed under the name uncultured bacterium. RNAcentral describes it as "partial 16S ribosomal RNA". It matches the Rfam family "Bacterial small subunit ribosomal RNA", at positions 524 to 776 of the family's 1533-position model. The record is from RNAcentral.
UACGUAGGAUGCAAGCGUUGUCCGGCUUUAUGGGGUUUAAAGGGUGCGUCGGCGGCCUAAUAAGUUAGUGGUGAAAACGUUCGGCUUAACCGGAUACCCGCCAUUGAUACUGAUAGACUUGAGUGCGACAGAGGGUGUUGGAAUGUGUGGUGUAGCGGUGAAAUGCUUAGAUAUCACGCAGAACACCAAUUGCGAAGGCAGAUGCCUAUGUCGUAACUGACGCUGAGGCACGAAAGCGUGUCGAGCAAACAGG